RNAcentral lists this ribosomal RNA (433 nucleotides) under uncultured bacterium. Its description in RNAcentral is "partial 16S ribosomal RNA". It matches the Rfam family "Bacterial small subunit ribosomal RNA", at positions 29 to 507 of the family's 1533-position model. The record is from RNAcentral.
AACGAACGCUGGCGGCAUGCCUAACACAUGCAAGUCGAACGAGACCUUCGGGUCUAGUGGCGCACGGGUGCGUAACGCGUGGGAACCUGCCCUUAGGUUCGGAAUAACUCCCCGAAAGGGGUGCUAAUACCGGAUAAUGUCUUCGGACCAAAGAUUUAUCGCCUUUGGAUGGGCCCGCGUUGGCUUAGCUAGUUGGUAGGGUAAAAGCCUACCAAGGCGACGAUCCAUAGCUGGUCUGAGAGGAUGAUCAGCCACACUGGGACUGAGACACGGCCCAGACUCCUACGGGAGGCAGCAGUGUGGAAUAUUGGACGAUGAGCGAAAGCCUGAUCCAGCAAUGCCGCGUGAGUGAUGAAGGCCUUAGGGUUGUAAAGCUCUUUUACCCGGGAUGAUAAUGACAGUACCGGGAGAAUAAGCUCCGGCUAACUCCGUG